UUCAAGUAAUCCAGGAUAGGCUGGUGCCAGGCCCGUGGCCUAUUCUCGAUUACUUGUCUC
Molecule: microRNA precursor, 60 nt
Filed under: Alligator mississippiensis (American alligator)
Lineage: Eukaryota; Metazoa; Chordata; Crocodylia; Alligatoridae
Description: Ami-Mir-26-P4_pre stem-loop
Source: RNAcentral